AACAGCAGCCAUAUCACCCUGCAGCCCAAGACUGGUUGCUUACUGAAGCUAAGCUGGGUUGAGCCUGGUCAGUACCUGGAGACCUCCUGAGAAAGCUAGGUUGCUGAUGGAA
RNAcentral lists this ribosomal RNA (112 nucleotides) under Sinocyclocheilus grahami. The record is from RNAcentral. Lineage: Eukaryota; Metazoa; Chordata; Actinopteri; Cypriniformes; Cyprinidae.